RNAcentral lists this unclassified non-coding RNA (541 nucleotides) under Hevea brasiliensis (rubber tree). Lineage: Eukaryota; Viridiplantae; Streptophyta; Magnoliopsida; Malpighiales; Euphorbiaceae. The record is from RNAcentral.
CUCUCCGGCAAUAUCGUCAAUCCCUCAGUGAACCAUCCUGCACAGCCUACACCAGCUUGCAUAGAAUUCAACUAGGACUGGUAUAUUACUUAAAAUAAAUUUUCCCAUGAGUCCUUAGUGACAGCUGCAGCUGUACAUACCCCAAAGAUGUGAAUAAGAAGGUCAUCAAACAUUAUGCUCUAGUCUCUAGAUGUUCCACCAAAUUCCUGGCACAAAAUCUUUAGUUUGCAAGCAAAUAAAUAAGCAGAAAUUAAACCAACACCAAAUAAGUAGGCUAAAUGUAUCAGUUCACCAAUUAUUAUCAAGAAAUAAACUGGUUCAUUUCAAUUCAUAUAUUACAUUCUCAUGAAAUAAUUAUCAUGCACCCAAAGCAUGGAUGAAAGACUAAUUAGUUCAAAUUAGUCUAUCUAUUUAAAAAAUAGGGAAAAACACAAAAAAAUACCUUGAUUCCACGCCUUGACACAUUAAGUGCCAUUGUUUAAUUUUUGACAAUUUGAUACUGUUAGAGUCCAAGUCUAAUUGAAAUUAGGAAGUAUAAUUA